This 497-nucleotide ribosomal RNA is filed under the name uncultured bacterium. RNAcentral describes it as "partial 16S ribosomal RNA". It matches the Rfam family "Bacterial small subunit ribosomal RNA", at positions 28 to 507 of the family's 1533-position model. The record is from RNAcentral.
GAUGAACGCUGGCGGCGUGCCUAAUACAUGCAAGUCGAGCGAACAGACGAGGAGCUUGCUCCUCUGACUUUAGCGGCGGACGGGUGAGUAACACGUGGAUAACCUACCUAUAAGACUGGGAUAACUUCGGGAAACCGGAGCUAAUACCGGAUAAUAUAUUGAACCGCAUGGUUCAAUAGUGAAAGACGGUUUUGCUGUCACUUAUAGAUGGAUCCGCGCCGCAUUAGCUAGUUGGUAUGGUAACGGCUUACCAAGGCAACGAUGCGUAGCCGACCUGAGAGGGUGAUCGGCCACACUGGAACUGAGACACGGUCCAGACUCCUACGGGAGGCAGCAGUAGGGAAUCUUCCGCAAUGGGCGAAAGCCUGACGGAGCAACGCCGCGUGAGUGAUGAAGGUCUUCGGAUCGUAAAACUCUGUUAUUAGGGAAGAACAAAUGUGUAAGUAACUAUGCACGUCUUGACGGUACCUAAUCAGAAAGCCACGGCUAACUACGUG